Molecule: long non-coding RNA, 616 nt
Filed under: Aedes aegypti (yellow fever mosquito)
Lineage: Eukaryota; Metazoa; Arthropoda; Insecta; Diptera; Culicidae
Description: lncRNA AAEL027781
Source: RNAcentral
UUGUACUGUAUCUCACACUACAUCUACUGUAUCGCUAACGGUUACCGUAUAGCUAAUUGCUAUCAAUCAGUUCCAUAUAGUCCGUAUUUGGAAACUAUGAAUAAAUCAACUAUUUCUAAACUUACGUGGGUUAUAUCGGAAAUGGUUACAAUUUGGCAAAACAUUCAAAUAUGAUUGCAUACUGUUUAGUAUCAUGAAAAGUUGUCACACAUACAUUGAAGUCUUAUGGUUUGAUAGUAAACAUACCGUACGCGGAGUAGUUAUAUUGCACUUGUGUGCGUUUUGUGAAAUCGGAGAAAAUUUUUCACCAGUCAAACUGCCAUAUUUGUGUUCAUUUCUGCGAAUCGAGUGUCGAAACUUGUUUGAAGUGAAAUAAGGAAUGCAUACUUCUUAGGACUUCAGAGUGGUGCUGCAAAAUAUUUACAGGUAAGUGUUAUUAUUAUUUUUCAUCGAAGUCAGAGUUGACAAUGUUCUUUUUCUUUUUAAGAGUUUCAACAGUGCCGAAGGAUCGUGGAACCAGAAUAUCAUCCCCAAUGCUGAAUCUAGGCGCUGAAUUCAACUUGAACCUGUUUCGCAACUUUCAGCGGAAAUAAAGUUUCUGGAGUAGAUACACGAA